RNAcentral lists this ribosomal RNA (691 nucleotides) under marine sediment metagenome. RNAcentral's name for it is "LSU rRNA". It matches the Rfam family "Bacterial large subunit ribosomal RNA", at positions 1820 to 2511 of the family's 2925-position model. The record is from RNAcentral.
UCUCUGCCAAAGCGAAAGCUGAAGUAUAGGGGCUGAUACCUGCCCAGUGCUGGAAGGUUAAGGAGAGGUGUCAUGAUUUUUAAUCGGCAGCACCGAACUGAAGCCCCAGUGAACGGCGGCCGUAACUAUAACGGUCCUAAGGUAGCGAAAUCCCUUGUCGGGUAAGUUCCGACCCGCACGAAAGGUGUAACGACUUGGGCGCUGUCUCAACGAGGGACUCGGUGAAAUUGAAAUACCCGUGAAGAUGCGGGUUACCCGCGACAGGACAAAAAGACCCCGUGGAGCUUUACUACAGCUUGGCACUGGGUCUGGACUCAUCAUGUGUAGGAUAGGUGGGAGGCUUUGAAGCCGGGGCGCCAGCCUCGGUGGAGCCAACGUUGAAAUACCACUCUUGGUGAGUUUAGCCUCUAACCCCUGAUCAAGCAGGGGGACAGUGUCUGGUGGGUAGUUUGACUGGGGCGGUCGCCUCCUAAAAGGUAACGGAGGCGCCCAAAGGUCCCCUCAGGGUGGAUGGAAAUCACCCAUAGAGCGCAUUGGCAUAAGGGGGCUUGACUGCGAGACCUACAAGUCGAGCAGGUGCGAAAGCAGGGCAAAGUGAUCCCACGGUACCGUGUGGAAGGGCCGUGGCUUAACGGAUAAAAGCUACCCCGGGGAUAACAGGCUUAUCUUGCCCAAGAGUUCACAUCGACGG